GGAUGAACGCUAGCGGCAGGCUUAACACAUGCAAGUCGAGGGGUAUAGUAGCAAUACUAGAGACCGGCGCACGGGUGCGUAACGCGUAUGCAAUCUACCUUUUGCAGAGGGAUAGCCCAGAGAAAUUUGGAUUAAUACCUCAUAGUAUAGUGAUACCGCAUGGUGCUACUAUUAAAGUCACAACGGCAAAAGAUGAGCAUGCGUCCCAUUAGCUAGUUGGUAAGGUAACGGCUUACCAAGGCAACGAUGGGUAGGGGUCCUGAGAGGGAGAUUCCCCCACACUGGUACUGAGACACGGACCAGACUCCUACGGGAGGCAGCAGUGAGGAAUAUUGGACAAUGGGCGCAAGCCUGAUCCAGCCAUGCCGCGUGCAGGAUGACGGUCCUAUGGAUUGUAAACUGCUUUUAUACGAGAAGAAACACUCCGACGUGUCGGAGCUUGACGGUAUCGUAAGAAUAAGGAUCGGCUAACUCCGUGCCAGCAGCCGCGGUAAUACGGAGGAUCCAAGCGUUAUCCGGAAUCAUUGGGUUUAAAGGGUCCGU
Molecule: ribosomal RNA, 543 nt
Filed under: uncultured bacterium
Lineage: Bacteria
Description: bacterial SSU rRNA
Rfam family: Bacterial small subunit ribosomal RNA
Source: RNAcentral